This 433-nucleotide ribosomal RNA is filed under the name uncultured bacterium. Its description in RNAcentral is "partial 16S ribosomal RNA". It matches the Rfam family "Bacterial small subunit ribosomal RNA", at positions 29 to 507 of the family's 1533-position model. The record is from RNAcentral.
AACGAACGCUGGCGGCAUGCCUAACACAUGCAAGUCGAACGAGACCUUCGGGUCUAGUGGCGCACGGGUGCGUAACGCGUGGGAACCUGCCCUUAGGUUCGGAAUAACUCCCCGAAAGGGGUGCUAAUACCGGAUAAUGUCUUCGGACCAAAGAUUUAUCGCCUUUGGAUGGGCACGCGUUGGAUUCGCUAGUUGGUAGGGUAAAAGCCUACCAAGGCGACGAUCCAUAGCUGGUCUGAGAGGAUGAUCAGCCACACUGGGACUGAGACACGGCCCAGACUCCUACGGGAGGCAGCAGUGGUGAAUAUUGUACAAUGGGCGAAAGCCUGAUCCAGCAAUGCCGCGUGAGUGAUGAAGGCCUUAGGGUUGUAAAGCUCUUUUACCCGGGAUGAUAAUGACAGUACCGGGAGAAUAAGCUCCGGCUAACUCCGUG